GAUAAACGCUAGCGGCAGGCUUAAUACAUGCAAGUCGUGGGGCAGCAGGUUUGUAGCGAUACAGAUGCUGGCGACCGGCAAACGGGUGCGGAACACGUACAGAACCUUCCUUGAGCGGGGAAUAGCCCAGAGAAAUUUGGAUUAAUACCCCAUAGUAUAAUGAAGUGGCAUCACUUUAUUAUUAAAGAUUUAUCACUCGAAGAUGGCUGUGCGGCUGAUUAGGUAGUUGGCGGGGUAAAGGCCCACCAAGCCUGCGAUCAGUAACUGGUGUGAGAGCACGACCAGUCACACGGGACUGAGAUACGGCCCAGACUCCUACGGGAGGCAGCAGUGGGGAAUAUUGCACAAUGGGCGCAAGCCUGAUGCAGCGACGCCGCGUGAGGGAUGACGGCCUUCGGGUUGUAAACCGUCUUUCAAUAGGACGAAGCGCAAGUGACGGUACCUAUAG
RNAcentral lists this ribosomal RNA (448 nucleotides) under uncultured bacterium. RNAcentral's name for it is "bacterial SSU rRNA". It matches the Rfam family "Bacterial small subunit ribosomal RNA", at positions 28 to 484 of the family's 1533-position model. The record is from RNAcentral.